GAUGAACGCUAGCGGCAGGCUUAACACAUGCAAGUCGAGGGGCAGCGGGGACUUCGGUCCGCGGCGACCGGCAAACGGGUGCGGAACACGUACGCAACCUUCCUUUAACUGGAAGAUAGCCCACCGAAAGGUGGAUUAAUACUCCAUAAUAUAUUGAAGAGGCAUCUUUUUAAUAUUAAAGCUCCGGCGGUUAAAGAUGGGCGUGCGUCUGAUUAGGUAGUUGGCGGGGUAACGGCCCACCAAGCCUUCGAUCAGUAGCUGAUGUGAGAGCAUGAUCAGCCACACGGGCACUGAGACACGGGCCCGACUCCUACGGGAGGCAGCAGUAAGGAAUAUUGGUCAAUGGACGCAAGUCUGAACCAGCCAUGCCGCGUGGAGGAUGAAGGCCCUCUGGGUUGUAAACUUCUUUUCUUUGGGACGAAACCCCUGUUUCUACGGGGACUGACGGUACCAGAGGAAUAAGCACCGGCUAACUCCGUGCCAGCCGCCGCCGUAA
RNAcentral lists this ribosomal RNA (496 nucleotides) under uncultured bacterium. Its description in RNAcentral is "partial 16S ribosomal RNA". It matches the Rfam family "Bacterial small subunit ribosomal RNA", at positions 28 to 523 of the family's 1533-position model. The record is from RNAcentral.